AGAUUGAACGCUGGCGGCAGGCCUAACACAUGCAAGUCGAGCGGUAGAGAGGUGCUUGCACCUCUUGAGAGCGGCGGACGGGUGAGUAAUGCCUAGGAAUCUGCCUAGUGGUGGGGGAUAACGUUCGGAAACGGACGCUAAUACCGCAUACGUCCUACGGGAGAAAGCGGGGGACCUUCGGCCUCGCGCCAUUAGAUGAGCCUAGGUCGGAUUAGCUAGUUGGUGAGGUAAUGGCUCACCAAGGCGACGAUCCGUAACUGGUCUGAGAGGAUGAUCAGCCACACUGGGACUGAGACACGGGCCCAGACCUCCGUAACGGGGACGCAGGC
Molecule: ribosomal RNA, 329 nt
Filed under: uncultured soil bacterium
Lineage: Bacteria
Description: bacterial SSU rRNA
Rfam family: Bacterial small subunit ribosomal RNA
Source: RNAcentral